GGGCCUGCGGUGCGGGCGCGACCGCGGGCGCUGCGCGCUCCUCCGCUCGCGGACCGGGCCCCGACGCCACGUCCACGCUGCUGCCCCUCCGGGGCUGGACGGAUUACCGCUCCUCGCGCCAGCAGACGGCGGGACUGGAGAACUGAGCCCAGUUUUUGUCUUUUUAACCCUUUGGAGAAGAGGCGAGGAGAAAGGGGGUGUGUGCCUAAGGAGGGCGAAGGCGCAGCUAACACCUCUUAACUCUCGCAGCUCCGCGAGCUCACGACUGCAAUCAUCUGCCGCCAGCUCCAGGCGGCCGACGCCGGGAAAGCGGAGUGGAGAGCAGCGCAGCAGCCGGGAAGCGCGGCCUGGGCGGCUUCGGGGCGCCCCCGCACCCCCAUCCCCAGCGACAGCCCAGGGAGAGGGCUGGGGGCGCCGGAGACACACUUUGGCGAUGAAGCGCCUUCCCCCGCGGCUGGAGCGAGCUGGUGCCAGGGUCCAAGGACAAAGCAGGGAAGCGCCGGUGGCGCCGCUCUUCGGGAUCUCGGGGGGGCAUGCACCUGCAUAGCCCGCCGGGCCUUGGCUCUCCCUGGCGCGCCUCAACUCCGCGGCUUCGCCGGCUCCGGAUUUACUAGAAGCCAUUUUGUCUCCCCCACCCCUCCCCUCCCCGCUGCCCUCCCUGCCCCCACCACUUCCCCCUUUGUUAAUUAAAACUAAAGUCAGAAUGGGAACGAUGUACCCAGCUCCCGUGGAGAAAGCUUAAGGACAAGGCGCUAAUUCUUUCCUGCUUUCCUUCCGAGAUGGAAAGAGGAGCUCCUAGCUCACUUAAGCCGGGGUAAGGCUGGUUCUCUUUUCCAAGCCAAAAUCCCAGGCGAUGGUGAAUUAUGAACGUGCCACACCAUGAAGCUCUUGUGGCAGGUAACUGUGCACCACACCUGGAAUGCCGUCCUGCUUCCCGUCGUCUACCUCACGGCGCAAGUGUGGAUUCUGUGUGCAGCCAUCGCUGCUGCCGCUUCAGCCGGGCCCCAGAACUGCCCCUCCGUCUGUUCCUGCAGUAACCAGUUCAGCAAGGUGGUGUGCACCCGCCGGGGCCUCUCUGAGGUCCCGCAGGGUAUUCCUUCCAACACCCGGUAUCUCAACCUCAUGGAAAACAACAUCCAGAUGAUUCAGGCCGACACCUUCAGGCACCUCCACCACUUGGAGGUCCUGCAGCUGGGCAGGAACUCCAUCAGGCAAAUAGAGGUGGGGGCCUUCAAUGGCCUCGCCAGUCUCAACACCCUGGAACUGUUUGACAACUGGCUGACUGUCAUCCCCAGUGGGGCCUUUGAGUACCUGUCAAAGCUGCGGGAGCUCUGGCUUCGCAACAACCCCAUUGAAAGCAUCCCCUCUUAUGCCUUCAACCGGGUGCCCUCCCUCAUGCGUCUGGACUUGGGGGAGCUCAAGAAGCUGGAGUAUAUCUCCGAGGGAGCUUUUGAGGGACUGUUCAAUCUCAAGUACCUGAAUUUGGGCAUGUGCAACAUUAAGGAUAUGCCCAAUCUUACACCGCUAGUGGGGCUAGAGGAGCUUGAGAUGUCAGGGAACCACUUUCCUGAGAUCAGGCCAGGGUCCUUCCAUGGCCUUAGCUCUCUCAAGAAACUGUGGGUGAUGAACUCACAAGUCAGCUUGAUUGAGAGGAAUGCUUUUGAUGGGCUGGCUUCCCUUGUGGAACUCAACUUGGCCCACAAUAACCUUUCAUCCUUGCCCCAUGACCUCUUCACUCCCCUGAGAUACCUAGUGGAGUUGCACCUACACCACAAUCCUUGGAACUGUGAUUGUGACAUCCUGUGGCUGGCUUGGUGGCUUCGGGAGUACAUUCCCACCAAUUCCACCUGCUGUGGCCGCUGUCAUGCUCCCAUGCACAUGCGAGGCCGUUACCUGGUGGAGGUGGACCAGGCGGCCUUUCAGUGCUCUGCUCCCUUCAUCAUGGAUGCACCCCGGGACCUCAAUAUCUCUGAGGAUCGGAUGGCAGAACUUAAGUGCCGGACUCCCCCUAUGUCCUCUGUGAAGUGGUUGCUGCCCAAUGGAACAGUGCUCAGCCACGCCUCCCGACACCCACGGAUCUCUGUCCUUAAUGAUGGCACCUUGAACUUUUCUCGUGUGCUGCUCAUAGACACUGGAGUAUACACAUGCAUGGUGACCAAUGUGGCAGGCAACUCCAAUGCCUCGGCCUACCUCAAUGUGAGCUCGGCCGAGCUCAACACCCCCAACUUCAGCUUCUUCACCACAGUAACAGUGGAGACCACAGAGAUCUCACCUGAGGACAUAACACGAAAGUACAAGCCUGUUCCCACCACAUCCACUGGUUACCAGCCGGCAUAUACCACCUCUACCACGGUGCUCAUUCAGACCACCCGUGUGCCCAAGCAGGUGCCAGUACCCUCAACAGACACCACCGACAAGAUGCAGACCAGCCUGGAUGAAGUCAUGAAGACCACCAAGAUCAUCAUUGGCUGCUUUGUGGCCGUGACACUCCUAGCUGCUGCCAUGUUGAUUGUCUUCUAUAAACUUCGCAAGCGGCACCAGCAGCGGAGUACAGUCACAGCUGCCAGGACAGUAGAGAUUAUCCAGGUGGAUGAAGACAUCCCAGCAGCAGCAUCUGCAGCAGCAACAGCAGCGCCAUCCGGUGUAUCAGGGCUAGCAGGAAUGAGGCUGCCUUGGCUGGAGGAAGAAGAUGGUGUGAGUCUCAAGCCCCAGUGGAGCAAGACGAUGUGCCAUCUGCUGCACUAGUUGCUGCAUCUCCAAGUCAUGCCCAGUCUGUAGUCUGCUGCCUGUCUUAGGAGCUGAGCCCCUAGCACCUCCUACCCAUGGCAAACCUCGAACCUCUGUACUGUGGCUGCCAAGAUGAUGCGAAAGCAGGGGGCUACUUUCCAAUUAGGAGAAAAACAUAUUACACGGAAAUAUAGUCUUCAUUUCCUUUUUUUCCUUCAUCAUCUCCAGCUAUUUAUAAAGCUUUGGCCUAAAAAGCAAAGCUGUUGAACAAAGCCGAGGAAGAAGAGGGGAUGUCAGGCUCCCCUUACCCCAUCCACGCAGGACACUGGUUUGCGAAUGAUUCAUGGGAAAAGAACAAUCACCCUGCCGGCAGCCUCACAUGUAAUUAACCAACUUGACAGACAGCUGGCUGCCUUCUCCAGAUCUAGCACCCGCAGAUCACAUAGUCAUACUGAGGUUUCAGUGACGUCUCCCCACUGGAAGAGGGACAUCCAAAAUAGUGACCUCGAUACACUAGCACUCAGGAAGCAUGAUUGAGGUGGCAGUGCUCUUCUGGACAAGCCUGGCUGGGUGCAGCCUCCUGACAUCAACAAGCAGCCAGUGCCGGGACCACCAUUCCACAUAGAUUGCCAUUAACUGCAUACUCAGGUUUCUCCAACACAGCAACAAGCAGAGUGCUGGCAAGCAGCGACGGCUCGGUAAGUGUAUGCUGGCUAGCUGGCCUUCUGGAAGACGAUGUCAAGAGGAGUACAAAUGACUGUGGAAUUCGUGACAAAGGCCUCAAAGGGCUCUUGGAUGGCUGGAUUGCAGAUCAAUCUUCUAGACAGAAAUACCAAGGAAAGGCAGCAAAAAAAUCAUAUUCUCAGGACCACAAGAUGACUGGAGUGUGAAGACCUAGAAGUUUGCACUUUUAAGCCGGUUAUCUACCCAUUAGCUAAUGCUAUCUCUCAUCCCUAUUUCUGGGAAGACGCUAGCAACAAGCACAACUCCCUGUCUGGGAAAUUACUCUGGAUCUUCCUGUCCUUGGCAGUGUCACAGGGAGUUGCUUUAAAAAGGCUGCUGUAUGGUGGGGGUGGGGAGGAGAGGAUAAAAUAUGUCAUUAAGCACAUGCUAGCCAAUGGGAGAUAGCACUUACAGCUCACACAAAACAACAAUUUUAAGUUCUAUACCUCAGAAGCAGCCCAGCCUCAAGGACAGAGACUUCUUAAAGCUCUACAUAGUUACCAUAAUUUAACCCAAUUCAGCAUAGUCUAAACCACAUGGAUUAUAAGCAAACUUUAUCUGUAGCCCAUAUGACUUCUGACAUCUUUUACUCAACUCCACUACACUGACUUAUGGUAUAAAAGCAGUCAUAGACAAUGCACAAAAGAAUUACCCUGGAUAUAUUUGAGUAAAGGUAAGGAUUUAAAUCCUUGGAGAGGCCCAUGGCUGCUCUGAGCCAUGAUCAGAUCAGAGAAUCAGCUAAUAACCUGGUAUUUGACUUCUAGCUCUUCCCGCCUUGGGACUGGCAACACCACUUGCAUGCCGGACCACUGCCCAGGACCAGAAUUCCUAAAUUCAAGAGAAUUGAGGCCAAAAGGAAUCAAUGGCUAAGGGGAAGCAUCUGGUAGAAGACAGGAAAGAGUGGUGUAAUGAAAAGGACAAGAGAGCCACUUAGGAAAAAGGGACUGAAUGGUGGCUGCAAAUGUCAGUAGUUCUGUGCAUAAGGAAAGCAUGGUAAUCAGGUCUCAAGAUAUGGGAGAAAAGCUCUGUCGUCCCUUUCAGGCUCUACAUAGGGGAUGGGGAUGGAAAAGCAAGCAAUUUCCUACUCACUCAAUACAGAGGGAGAGACACAUGAGGAUCUGUGCCCUGUUCAUUCAAAGCCAGGAAUAUAUCCUCAGCAAACGGCACUGUUUCUCAGUGUCCACACCCUGAAAGUCAGCUUCCCAUUCUUUUCUUGACAGAGGUCUGGCCUUGGUACAGUGACAAUAAUACUUUUUGUUUUGACCUUUCUCUGAUCAUGAAGUGCUUCCACUUAUGGAGAAUCUAGUAAAAACUUUCCCUUAGUAAUUCAGAUUUAUAGUAUCUGGGAGAAAGCAGGCCAAGGUAGAGAAACCCUGGGCCCAAAGGCGAUAAUGUGAACAAAGGUUUAAAAACUUAAAAGGGAAGGUGGGAUAGAGCCAAGGACAGUCAGAUUUUUAAAUACCCAGUUAUGCUUGAUUAUCAAAGGAAUAGGCAUAAGCACAAAAAUCAAUGCUCAACUGCCACAGAGCUCCAGCUCUCCUGCAGUCACACAG
Microtus ochrogaster (prairie vole) is the source of this 5003-nucleotide RNA transcript. It is a transcript of the gene named leucine rich repeat containing 4, with no coding region annotated. The record is from RefSeq and is a predicted model, not a curated record. The transcript has 4 exons. NCBI's taxonomy places the organism in Eukaryota, Metazoa, Chordata, Mammalia, Rodentia, Cricetidae.